AAAGGGUGAUCAGGUUUCCCGUAGGUUCCGAAGACGGUGUCCAACCAAUCCUCUUGGGCGAAACUUGUGAUCAGCUGCAGAUUUCAGUCUAUCAGAAUCACUUGGAAGAGAUCAAACCGGUGCGACCAAAUCAUCGGUACGUACCUUUUCUAAACUCGUUGAAGCAAUACAGGUUUAAGAUUGUUAAUGAAUAAUUUAUUAUACUCGUAUAUAUAACCUUCAAAAACUUUGAUAAUUUUCUUUGAAUAAGAAUAUUUUAAGCCUAAAAACUAGCUCACUUUUUAAUAAAAAAAUAGAUUUUCAUCCGCCUUUUAAAACGCCGAGAUUGUUGUUUAGUGUUUAACAAAAUUUUAGUUUUGUCAUUAUUAUUAUUUAACAGUCAAAGGUGGUAAGAUAAUUAAUUCAAUUCUCUUUGUAGCCAAGUGAAGAGAAUUGAACAUUACCCUUUGUUGUACUUGUCUGCUACGAAACUGAGAUUCUUUUUUCUGCACGAAUCAUAAAUAAAAGCUGCAUAUUUUACUUGAAAGUACAUGGACUUAAAUCCGAGCAUAAACCUCCGGAUUUGUAAAUACUAAUCCGAAAUUUUUUAAAAAUAUGCAUAUUUUACUUGAAUUUAUAAAUACUACAUGGAUUUCUAAAUCAAUCAAAAUAUAUAAACCAAUAAGAUAUCUUGACUUAUGAUUUGUAGCCAAUGAAAGGGUAUUUUCUUUUCUAGUUUGUGUUUGGUAAUAACACUCUGCUUUGUGUCCACAUAUUUGUUUCUUUUCUAGGUAAAAUUAUUGUGUUCUGUUUGUUUUAUUAAAAUAUAUAGUAACCGUUUUAAUUAGAGUAGGGGCUAAAAUGGUUCUUGACACUAAAUGUGUAUCAUAUAUUGAAUGUGUAUUAUUAGAAUCCAUUUGUAGAAAAAUACCCUUAAUGAGAAGUCCAUAAAUAAUAUUAAAGCGAGUUGCAUUUUUUGUAAAUCGUAUAUGAGAAAAAGGUUAUUUUCUGUUUUAAUAAAAUAGAUGCCUAAAUAUACUGAGAUUUUAAUUAUGUUAAGAGAUUUUGAACAUAAGCAGAUGAGGUUCUCGUGUCGGGCAUGAAAUAUAUCCAAUAUUUUUAAUAAAUAAUUAUUUAAUUAUGUCUGAUGGAAAUAAAUAAUCUAAUAAAAAUAAAUAUUUAUCUGGUAAAAUUAAAAUUUUGCAGAAUUUAUAAAAAAUAAAUAUUUAUUUAAUUUCUAUGGAAAUUAGUAAGAAUAUUUUUUGGUUUUUGACGAAAAUAUAUAUACAUAUAUAUAUAUUCAAACUUUUUAGAAAUUUUCUGAAGAAAGUAUAAAAAAAAUAUUUAUUGAAUUUGUCGGAAUCGUCGCAAAUUCGUCAUAUUUUUGACAGGAUUUAGUUCCAUUGAAAAUUCCAUCUGAAAUUCCUAUGUUUUUUUAUAGUGUAUCAUCCAUCACUACAAUGUAAACACGGAAAAUUGUGACUAUAUAUUUAGUGGCUAGCUUAACCACAGAACUAUUAUGAUCAUCUAGUGGCUAAAGUUUAGUGCAUAGGCAGCUACCAUAUUAUGAUCACAUUUUUAAAUAUCUAAUCGUGGUCAUUUUUCAUAUAGUCAAGGAAUGAAAAGUUGGUGGCUAUAGAAUUUUCUUUUAACCGUGGAGACUUUUCUGCCUAAUAGUUUGAGAGAGAGAGAGAAACAAAGCAGAGAUCCACACGGAUAAAAGACUGUAAAAGAGAUAAAAUUAGAGUGUGACAGAGGGUUUUAUUUUUUUCCAUCUCUUAGAGAUGUUGUAUAGUUGUUGUUUCUUCUCUAGAUUCAGUUGUCGUUAAAUGCUUCAUGGCACUUCUCUAACAACUGUUCUACUUUGUUUUUUUUUGGUAUAACACUGUUCUACUUUGUUGCACAUAAAAAAAUGUUCUACCCAAAAGGAAAGGAUUUGGAUGCAUCUCUGACUAGUCUCCGAUCAAAAGAGAUAACUCAUCGUUUGUUAUGUUUCAGGUUUGAUUGAGAGAUGAAAAAAUAUAAUGAUAAUCAUAUUAGCUUCCUCAGUUUUAUUAAAAAAAAUAAAGCUGCACGCGCAAGUAUAGAGAUUGCAGUUUGUGUUACCUUUUGGUAAACAUAAGAAGGUGGAUUUCUUGUAUCGGGC
This 2125-nucleotide long non-coding RNA is filed under the name Brassica rapa (field mustard). RNAcentral describes it as "long non-coding RNA (BRAP_LNC002944)". The record is from RNAcentral. Lineage: Eukaryota; Viridiplantae; Streptophyta; Magnoliopsida; Brassicales; Brassicaceae.